AGCGAACGCUGGCGGCAGGCCUAACACAUGCAAGUCGAACGGAUCCUUCGGGAUUAGUGGCGGACGGGUGAGUAACACGUGGGAACGUGCCCUUUGGUUCGGAACAACUCAGGGAAACUUGAGCUAAUACCGGAUGUGCCCUUCGGGGGAAAGAUUUAUCGCCAUUGGAGCGGCCCGCGUCUGAUUAGCUAGUUGGUGAGGUAACGGCCCACCAAGGCGACGAUCAGUAGCUGGUCUGAGAGGAUGAUCAGCCACACUGGGACUGAGACACGGCCCAGACUCCUACGGGAGGCAGCAGUGGGGAAUCUUGCGCAAUGGGCGAAAGCCUGACGCAGCCAGGCCGCGUGAAUGAUGAAGGUCUUAGGGUUGUAAAAUUCUUUCAGCGGGGACGAUAAUGACGGUACCCGCAGAAGAAGCUCCGGCUAACUUCGUG
This 433-nucleotide ribosomal RNA is filed under the name uncultured bacterium. RNAcentral describes it as "partial 16S ribosomal RNA". It matches the Rfam family "Bacterial small subunit ribosomal RNA", at positions 29 to 507 of the family's 1533-position model. The record is from RNAcentral.